This 374-nucleotide ribosomal RNA is filed under the name Anopheles subpictus. RNAcentral's name for it is "eukaryotic LSU rRNA". It matches the Rfam family "Eukaryotic large subunit ribosomal RNA", at positions 660 to 945 of the family's 3401-position model. The record is from RNAcentral. Lineage: Eukaryota; Metazoa; Arthropoda; Insecta; Diptera; Culicidae.
CACGGACCAAGAAGUCUAUCUUGCACGCGAGCCAAUGGGACCGGUGCCACCUUCGGGUGGUGCCGCUCAAUCGAACACCCAUAGGCGAAGACAACUCGAAGACGCAUGUCACGGGAUUACGGGUUCGGCAUUGGCGCAAGCCUACGUCGGAUCCCUCCAUCCCAGGGUGCCCCGAUACGGGUGGGAGCGGGCCUCCGGGCGUCGUUCUACCCAGCGGGCAUACCCCGAGUGUGCAGGAUGCGACCCGAAAGAUGGUGAACUAUGCCUGAUCAGGUUGAAGUCAGGGGAAACCCUGAUGGAGGACCGAAGCAAUUCUGACGUGCAAAUCGAUUGUCAGAGUUGGGCAUAGGGGCGAAAGACCAAUCGAACCAUCU